Gasterosteus aculeatus aculeatus (three-spined stickleback) is the source of this 330-nucleotide non-coding RNA. The record is from RefSeq and is a predicted model, not a curated record. Lineage: Eukaryota; Metazoa; Chordata; Actinopteri; Perciformes; Gasterosteidae.
CUCACGGACUCCUGUUGGCUCGCCAUUUUGAUUUGCUCCUCGAGCGACUCGUCCGCCUCCAGAAAGGAAACAAGCGAAGGACGAUGGUUCCUAUCCGCCUGCGGACCCGAGGUGGCGGUGUGUCCACGGGUGAAAACAACUCCGAUCCAAUCCACGAAUUGCCCAAAGGCCACAGAGGAAUCCUUGCCAGGAUGUCUGGAUGCAUAUGACUGCUCAAGACCUCCUUUUCUAUUUGUUAUGUGUACGUUUUAAACAAGGGAUGGUGAAGGCCUAGUAAUGUAUGAGUUUUUACUGCAUUACAUUACGUAAUACAUUACUUUUCUAAGGCUA